RNAcentral lists this long non-coding RNA (236 nucleotides) under Elaeis guineensis (African oil palm). RNAcentral describes it as "long non-coding RNA (EGUI_LNC069968)". The record is from RNAcentral. Lineage: Eukaryota; Viridiplantae; Streptophyta; Magnoliopsida; Arecales; Arecaceae.
ACUGGCAUGAUCUCAUCAUGAUCCUAAAAUCAUUAUCCUAAUCUAUAGAAUUUAUCGUAAUCAUGAAAAUAUGAUACAGUAAAUGAUAAAACACAGUACCUCAUGAAUAAAAUAACUAAUGUCAUGUAAAUGAAUAGGAAGAUAUCACAGAAAAGUCCCUUCACAUCACUAUGCGAUUGACUUGUAGGGUACUGUUGGAUAUAAAAUACCCACAGCCGAAGUCCUCAGCAGAAUCG